CAAAGGUGAGCCAGUACAGGAUGGACCCGCGUCUGAUUAGCUAGUUGGUAAGGUAACGGCUUACCAAGGCGACGAUCAGUAGCCGACCUGAGAGGGUGAUCGGCCACAUUGGAACUGAGACACGGUCCAAACUCCUACGGGAGGCAGCAGUGGGGAAUAUUGCACAAUGGGCGAAAGCCUGAUGCAGCAACGCCGCGUGAGUGAUGAAGGCCUUCGGGUCGUAAAACUCUGUCCUCAAGGAAGAUAAUGACGGUACUUGAGGAGGAAGCCCCGGCUAACUACGUGCCAGCAGCCGCGGUAAUACGUAGGGGGCUAGCGUUAUCCGGAUUUACUGGGCGUAAAGGGUGCGUAGGCGGUCUUUCAAGUCAGGAGUGAAAGGCUACGGCUCAACCGUAGUAAGCUCUUGAAACUGGGAGACUUGAGUGCAGGAGAGGAGAGUGGAAUUCCUAGUGUAGCGGUGAAAUGCGUAGAUAUUAGGAGGAACACCAGUUGCGAAGGCGGCUCUCUGGACUGUAACUGACGCUGAGGCACGAAAGCGUGGGGAGCAAACAGGAUUAGAUACCCUGGUAGUCCGCGCUGUAAACGAUGAGUACUAGGUGUCGGGGGUUACCCCCUUCG
RNAcentral lists this ribosomal RNA (618 nucleotides) under uncultured bacterium. Its description in RNAcentral is "bacterial SSU rRNA". It matches the Rfam family "Bacterial small subunit ribosomal RNA", at positions 202 to 842 of the family's 1533-position model. The record is from RNAcentral.